CCUACGGGUGGCAGCAGUGAGGAAUAUUGGUCAAUGGGCGCGAGCCUGAACCAGCCAAGUCGCGUGAGGGAAGACGGUCCUAUGGAUUGUAAACCUCUUUUGUCGGGGAGCAAAAGACGCCACGCGUGGCGUUCCGAGCGUACCCCAAGAAAAAGCAUCGGCUAACUCCGUGCCAGCAGCCGCGGUAAUACGGAGGAUGCGAGCGUUAUCCGGAUUUAUUGGGUUUAAAGGGUGCGCAGGCGGAAGAUCAAGUCAGCGGUAAAAUUGAGUGGCCAAACCUGGUCGGGCGGUUGAAACUGGGUUGCUUGAGUGAGUGAAAAGUAUGCGGAAUGCGGGGUGUAGCGGUGAAAUGCGUAGAUAGCACGCAGAACUCCGAUUGCGAAGGCAGCAUACCGGAGCGCAACUGACGCUCAUGCACGAAAGUGUGGGUAUCGAACAGGAUUAGAUACCCCUGUAGUC
This 459-nucleotide ribosomal RNA is filed under the name uncultured bacterium. RNAcentral describes it as "partial 16S ribosomal RNA". It matches the Rfam family "Bacterial small subunit ribosomal RNA", at positions 338 to 795 of the family's 1533-position model. The record is from RNAcentral.